UAUAAUUUUUGACUAUUCGUUUUAUUUAAAUUUUUUUAUUGAUAUUUUUGCUUUUAUUAGAUGAUAAAUCAUAAAUAGUACUUUACGUGUGACUAAUUUUUUUCUAAUUUUUUGAAAAUUUUUCAAAUAAAACGGAAGAUCAAACGUUAGACACGGAAACU
This 161-nucleotide microRNA precursor is filed under the name Oryza brachyantha (malo sina). Its description in RNAcentral is "MIR812 microRNA precursor family". It matches the Rfam family "MIR812 microRNA precursor family", at positions 27 to 189 of the family's 205-position model. The record is from Rfam by way of RNAcentral. Lineage: Eukaryota; Viridiplantae; Streptophyta; Magnoliopsida; Poales; Poaceae.